CUACGGGCGGCUGCAGUGGGGAAUAUUGCACAAUGGGGGGAACCCUGAUGCAGCAACGCCGCGUGGAGGAUGACACAUUUCGGUGCGUAAACUCCUUUUAUAUAAGAAGAUAAUGACGGUAUUAUAUGAAUAAGCACCGGCUAACUCCGUGCCAGCAGCCGCGGUAAUACGGGGGGUGCAAGCGUUACUCGGAAUCACUGGGCGUAAAGAGCAUGUAGGCGGGUAGAAAAGUUGGAAGUGAAAUCCUAUGGCUUAACCAUAGAACUGCUUCCAAAACUCUUUACCUAGAAUAUGGGAGAGGUAGAUGGAAUUUCUGGUGUAGGGGUAAAAUCCGUAGAGAUCAGAAGGAAUACCGAUUGCGAAGGCGAUCUACUGGAACAUUAUUGACGCUCAGAUGCGAAAGCGUGGGGAGCAAACAGGAUUAGAUACCCGCGUAGUC
This 439-nucleotide ribosomal RNA is filed under the name uncultured bacterium. RNAcentral describes it as "partial 16S ribosomal RNA". It matches the Rfam family "Bacterial small subunit ribosomal RNA", at positions 339 to 795 of the family's 1533-position model. The record is from RNAcentral.